UGCGCGUGCUUAACAUGCAGUCGAACGAUGAUCCCAGCUUGCUGGGGGAUUAGUGGCGAACGGGUGAGUAACACGUGAGUAACCUGCCCUUGACUCUGGGAUAAGCCUGGGAAACUGGGUCUAAUACCGGAUACGACCAUCUGGCGCAUGUCAUGGUGGUGGAAAGCUUUUGUGGUUUUGGAUGGACUCGCGGCCUAUCAGCUUGUUGGUGGGGUAAUGGCCUACCAAGGCGACGACGGGUAGCCGGCCUGAGAGGGUGACCGGCCACACUGGGACUGAGACACGGCCCAGACUCCUACGGGAGGCAGCAGUGGGGAAUAUUGCACAAUGGGCGCAAGCCUGAUGCAGCGACGCCGCGUGAGGGAUGACGGCCUUCGGGUUGUAAACCUCUUUCAGUAGGGAAGAAGCGAAAGUGACGGUACCUGCAGAAGAAGCGCCGGCUAACUACGUGCCAGCAGCCGCGGUAAUACGUAGGGCGCAAGCGUUAUCCGGAAUUAUUGGGCGUAAAGAGCUCGUAGGCGGUUUGUCGCGUCUGCUGUGAAAGACCGGGGCUCAACUCCGGUUCUGCAGUGGGUACGGGCAGACUAGAGUGCAGUAGGGGAGACUGGAAUUCCUGGUGUAGCGGUGAAAUGCGCAGAUAUCAGGAGGAACACCGAUGGCGAAGGCAGGUCUCUGGGCUGUAACUGACGCU
RNAcentral lists this ribosomal RNA (691 nucleotides) under Arthrobacter sp. MYb51. Its description in RNAcentral is "bacterial SSU rRNA". It matches the Rfam family "Bacterial small subunit ribosomal RNA", at positions 41 to 747 of the family's 1533-position model. Lineage: Bacteria; Bacillati; Actinomycetota; Actinomycetes; Micrococcales; Micrococcaceae. The record is from RNAcentral.